AUAAAUAAAGUAUUAUAGUACAGUUUAGUUACAUUAAAUUAGACCUUUAUAGGUAUUUAUA
Molecule: transfer RNA, 61 nt
Filed under: Gyraulus laevis
Lineage: Eukaryota; Metazoa; Mollusca; Gastropoda; Planorbidae
Description: tRNA-Val
Source: RNAcentral